Pan troglodytes (chimpanzee) is the source of this 2180-nucleotide long non-coding RNA. RefSeq lists it as uncharacterized. The transcript is spliced from 5 exons. The record is from RefSeq and is a predicted model, not a curated record. NCBI's taxonomy places the organism in Eukaryota, Metazoa, Chordata, Mammalia, Primates, Hominidae.
AGUUGCCGGGCGCCAUGUUGGUGAAGCGCCGGGGCUGCUAAUGCUCCCUCUCCUCUUCCUCUUUGGCUCCCUCUCUCUCUUUUUCCAGACACCUUAAGGAAUUCAACAACCCCUCCCCUGCACACAGGCUUCUUCCAGAUGCCAUGUUGCAAGAUUUCCUCUGGAGAGGGCCUCUUGGCAAGGAACUGAUGUCUCUGGCCAGCAGCCAGUGAGGACCUAAGAUCUGUCAACAGCCAUGCAGAAGGGACAAUGAAUUGUGACUCGGAAAUUAAUCAGAUGAGACCUGAUGACUGAAGUACAUCACAGAGCUAGGAAGAGAGAUUACUAAGCAACACGUUGGUAUCAUCUCCAGAAGCCUUCAAAAUGGAAUAUGGUCAGCCUCUCCAUCCUUUCUUCCUCUCACCCUUUUUUUCAGACAUCUCAGUUGACAACCUGAGCAAUAGCUCUGACCUGGAAGCAUCCAGCUUUAUAGCCAAAGAGAAAAAGCGCAGACCUUUGUCCCAGAAUUCUCAUCAGAAGUGUCUUUCAUCUCAUUGGCCCUGUGUGAGUCAUGUGCCCACCCCUAAACCAAUCACCAUGGCCUCAGGAAUGCAUUGUGAUGAGUAGUUUAGGCUGGGGUCAGUUUUAUCCCCAUCCAAACAACAGAGCUGAAAUCCGAGGAGAAAUGAUUUCCCAAAGAAAAUUCCAAGGAUCAUUUAACAGAAGAAAUGUACAAGAUGCUGGGGACAGAACUACAGGCAUCCCCCAAGCUCCCAAGGCCUGUAACAAACCUCCACUGCCCUAGGACUCAGCCUCCUGAGGAACCACUUCUCUGUGUAAAUACUUAAACCCAUCCCAUGGCUGACACGCACGUGGCCCAUGGAAAAAUGGCUUCUGUAGGACACACCUCCUCCUUUUCCCAAAUGGACUUUGUUCUUAAAAUCCUUUAAUGAGGAGCAAGCAAGCAUCACUCAUCUAUCUGGAUGUGGACUCAGGGCCAGAGGCAUUUGAUGAUUUAUUAAUUGACCCACCAAAUCUAGUUCGUCCCCAUAGGCCAAUGCUAACAGGCCAUUUCAUUUAUUACUUGGCAAAGUUUGACUUCAUGAAGCAGAUCCCUUUUCAAUUACUUCUUACAGAAAAAUUUCCUUUGGCAAUUCAGUGCAGUGAACUUUUAUUAAGCACCAAGUAUGUGUCAUGAACUGCUGGGCUGGGUACAAAGAUGUGCUCACAACCCAGCAGAUGGGACAGGUCUGUGAAUGAAUGAGUGCAGUGCUGUUCAGACAAUGUUCUAUUCAUUUUCUAAGGCAGCCCUAAGAAAUUGCCACAAACUUGGUGGUUUCACACAAAAGAAAUUUAUUCACUCACACUUCUGGAGGCCAGAAGUCUGAAAUCAAGGCAUUGGCAGGGCUGGUUCCUUCUGGAAACUCUGAGGAACAAUCAGUUCCAUGCCUCUCUCCUAGCUUCUGGUUUCCAUCAGCAAUCCUUGGCAUUCCCUGAUUUGUAGACGGGUCGCUGCGAUCUCUCUAUCUCCAUCUCCGUCUCCGUCUUCACCUGGCCUUCCCCUCCGUGUCUAUUAAAUCUCCUUCUGCCUUUUCUCAUUGGAUCUUGGGCCUACCGUAAUCCAAGAUGAUUGAAACUCAAGAUCCUUAACUUAAUAUUAUCUACCAAGACCCCUUUUCACAAUAAGGUUGCAUUGACAGGUUCUGAGUGGGUGUGUCUUUUGGGAAUCCACCAUUUCACCCACAGCAGUUGCUUUGCAGGGUGUGGCGAUGCAUCAGAGGGGAGAGUGGAUUUCUGUCUUUAGAAGGUGACAGCAGUGGUGUCCUCACAGAGGAGAGCAUGUCUGAGCUCUUCACAAGGACAGAGGGGGUUAUCAGGAAGGAAAAGCAUUCCAGGAAAUAGCAGGUGUUAAGGCAGAGAGCAGAGAAGGAGCAGUCACCUUCAGGGAACAAACAGUCAUGUGGCAUGGCUGAAACAAGGGAGAGAGUGACCAAAGAAGAGGCUUGACAGGGAGGUGGGGGCCUGAGAGCCUCGGGAAGGAGUCUGGACUUGAGCCCAUGGGUAACACGGAGCUGUUACAGAGCCACUGCAGAAACAACAGGUUUGUCCUAUAUGAAUGAGUGCUUGGGUCUACUCAAAGGGUCUUAAGGAUUUUCAGCAUUUCCUUUGUAACCUUGGCAAAUAAUAGAUUGUGAGCAAUG